Long non-coding RNA from Daphnia carinata, 453 nucleotides. RefSeq lists it as uncharacterized. The record is from RefSeq and is a predicted model, not a curated record. The transcript has 4 exons. NCBI's taxonomy places the organism in Eukaryota, Metazoa, Arthropoda, Branchiopoda, Diplostraca, Daphniidae.
GCGGGAGAAAAACGCGUGGCUGGAGAAAAAUAUUUAAAAAUGAAUAAGAAAUAAAAGAUAAGGAUGCUCUAAUUAAGAACCUGCAGGCUCAAUUAUUGCAACAGCAGAAAAUAUUAGGUGACAACAAAACUAAGGAUGCUCAAACUUUGAGUCUACAAGCGCAGUUACUGGAAAAAACAAGUUAGAACGGGACACUUUCCAAACAGUGAAGGAGGUUUUUCAAAACUCAUCCCUAACUGAACGUGAGGAUGAGUUGGCAUUAGGUGAACACAGUCAGUUAUUCAGUCCACCACCUGACAGUGUGUUAAAUUUAAAUUCUGUUAGUGCUGCACUAAAAGAAUUGUUAGUAAUAAGUCCAUGCAGCGAAGGAACUGGAGAAUUGUGGUACUGUAUUUGGGCGGAAAAUGGGUGUGGUAUGGAAACACAGAAAUGGCAUGAGUUCAACCUAAAACA